This 426-nucleotide ribosomal RNA is filed under the name uncultured bacterium. RNAcentral describes it as "bacterial SSU rRNA". It matches the Rfam family "Bacterial small subunit ribosomal RNA", at positions 356 to 773 of the family's 1533-position model. The record is from RNAcentral.
GGGGAAUAUUGGGCAAUGGGCGAAAGCCUGACCCAGCCACGCCGCGUGAGUGAUGAAGGCCUUCGGGUCGUAAAGCUCUGUGGGGAGGGACGAAUAAGUCGGUAGUUAAUAACUGCCGGCCCUGACGGUACCUCCUUAGCAAGCACCGGCUAACCAUGUGCCAGCAGCCGCGGUAAUACAUGGGGUGCAAACGUUGCUCGGAAUUAUUGGGCGUAAAGCGCACGUAGGUGGUCUGUUAUGUCAGAUGUGAAAGCCCUCGGCUUAACUGAGGAAGUGCACCUGAAACUGGCAGGCUUGAGUACGAAAGAGGGUCGCGGAAUUCCCGGUGUAGAGGUGAAAUUCGUAGAUAUCGGGAGGAACACCGGUGGCGAAGGCGGCGACCUGGUUCGAUACUGACACUGAGGUGCGAAAGCGUGGGGAGCAAAC